CUCAAAUUUGAAAUCUGGUACCUUUGGUGCCCGAGUUGUAAUUUGGAGAGGGCAACUUUGGGACCGUUCCUUGUCUAUGUUCCUUGGAACAGGACGUCAUAGAGGGUGAGAAUCCCGUGUGGCGAGGAGUGCGGUUCUAUGUAAAGUGCCUUCGAAGAGUCGAGUUGUUUGGGAAUGCAGCUCUAAGUGGGUGGUAAAUUCCAUCUAAAGCUAAAUAUUGGCGAGAGACCGAUAGCGAACAAGUACAGUGAUGGAAAGAUGAAAAGAACUUUGAAAAGAGAGUGAAAAAGUACGUGAAAUUGUUGAAAGGGAAGGGCAUUUGAUCAGACAUGGUGUUUUGCGCCCUCUGCUCCUUGUGGGUGGGGGAAUCUCGCAGUUCACUGGGCCAGCAUCAGUUUUGGUGGCAGGAUAAAUCCGUAGGAAUGUAACUUGCUUCGGGAAGUAUUAUAGCCUAUGGGAAUACUGCCAGCUGGGACUGAGGACUGCGACGUAA
Molecule: ribosomal RNA, 493 nt
Filed under: Saccharomyces pastorianus
Lineage: Eukaryota; Fungi; Ascomycota; Saccharomycetes; Saccharomycetales; Saccharomycetaceae
Description: LSU rRNA
Rfam family: Eukaryotic large subunit ribosomal RNA
Source: RNAcentral